AGCUCCAAUAGCGUAUAUUAAAGUUGUUGCAGUUAAAAAGCUCGUAGUUGGAUUUGUGGCAGUCGCCUGCGUCCCGGCACUUUUGUGUUUGUGGUUUGCGUGUGACGCCAUCCUUGGGUGGAUCCUGUGUGGCAUUAGGUUGUCGUGCAGGGGAUGCCCAUCGUUUACUGUGAAAAAAUUAGAGUGUUCAAAGCAGGCUUAUGCCGUUGAAUAUAUUAGCAUGGAAUAAUGAGAUAGGACCUUGGUACUAUUUUGUUGGUUUGCGCACCGAGGUAAUGAUUAAUAGGGACAGUUGGGGGUAUUCGUAUUCCAUUGUCAGAGGUGAAAUUCUUGGAUUUCUGGAAGACGAACUACUGCGAAAGCAUUUACCAAGGAUGUUUUCAUUAAUCAAGAACGAAAG
RNAcentral lists this ribosomal RNA (400 nucleotides) under phytoplankton environmental sample. Its description in RNAcentral is "partial small subunit ribosomal RNA". It matches the Rfam family "Eukaryotic small subunit ribosomal RNA", at positions 587 to 989 of the family's 1831-position model. The record is from RNAcentral.